AUACGGAGGGGACUAGCGUUGUUCGGAUUUACUGGGCGUAAAGCGCGCGUAGGCGGUAUAUCAAGUUAGGCGUGAAAGCCCCGGGCUCAACCCGGGAACUGCGCUUAUUACUGAUAAACUAGAGUCCGGGAGAGGGUGGCGGAAUUCCCAGUGUAGAGGUGAAAUUCGUAGAUAUUGGGAAGAACACCAGUUGCGAAGGCGGCCACCUGGACCGGUACUGACGCUGAGGUGCGAAAGCGUGGGGAGCAAACAGGAUUAGAUACCCCAGUAGUCC
This 274-nucleotide ribosomal RNA is filed under the name uncultured bacterium. Its description in RNAcentral is "partial 16S ribosomal RNA". It matches the Rfam family "Bacterial small subunit ribosomal RNA", at positions 523 to 796 of the family's 1533-position model. The record is from RNAcentral.